This 615-nucleotide ribosomal RNA is filed under the name uncultured bacterium. RNAcentral describes it as "bacterial SSU rRNA". It matches the Rfam family "Bacterial small subunit ribosomal RNA", at positions 10 to 607 of the family's 1533-position model. The record is from RNAcentral.
AGUUUGAUCAUGGCUCAGGAUGAACGCUGGCGGCGUGCCUAAUACAUGCAAGUCGAACGCACAGCGAAAGGUGCUUGCACCUUUCAAGUGAGUGGCGAACGGGUGAGUAACACGUGGACAACCUGCCUCAAGGCUGGGGAUAACAUUUGGAAACAGAUGCUAAUACCGAAUAAAACUCAGUGUCGCAUGACACAAAGUUAAAAGGCGCUUUGGCGUCACCUAGAGAUGGAUCCGCGGUGCAUUAGUUAGUUGGUGGGGUAAAGGCCUACCAAGACAAUGAUGCAUAGCCGAGUUGAGAGACUGAUCGGCCACAUUGGGACUGAGACACGGCCCAAACUCCUACGGGAGGCUGCAGUAGGGAAUCUUCCACAAUGGGCGAAAGCCUGAUGGAGCAACGCCGCGUGUGUGAUGAAGGCUUUCGGGUCGUAAAGCACUGUUGUAUGGGAAGAACAGCUAGAAUAGGGAAUGAUUUUAGUUUGACGGUACCAUACCAGAAAGGGACGGCUAAAUACGUGCCAGCAGCCGCGGUAAUACGUAUGUCCCGAGCGUUAUCCGGAUUUAUUGGGCGUAAAGCGAGCGCAGACGGUUGAUUAAGUCUGAUGUGAAAGCCCGGAG